UUUUUUGUAGGACGGUCAAGUGUUGAGAAUGCCCCAUACUUCUUGACUUUGCGAAUCCUCCAGCAACAGAAAGCGAAGGUCUUUGUAUUGCCGUUCGUUCGUUUACUCUGGACUAUCUCCACUUCACCGAUUUCAAUGAACUUUGUGUUGAAAGACAUGAAUGGAAAUAAUUAACACAAAAAUAAAACGGGCUUACGUAUGCUUCAUUACAUAC
Molecule: long non-coding RNA, 214 nt
Organism: Pseudophryne corroboree (corroboree frog)
Lineage: Eukaryota; Metazoa; Chordata; Amphibia; Anura; Myobatrachidae
Exons: 3
Source: RefSeq, a predicted model, not a curated record